CUCACCUCACCUCACCUCACCUCACCUCACCUCACCUCACCCUUCACCUCACCUCACCUCACCUCACCUAACCUCACCCUUCACCUCACCUCACCUCACCUCACCCUUCACCUCACCUCACCUCACCUAACCUCACCUAACCUCACCCUUCACCUCACCUCACCUCACCUCACCUCACCUCACCCUUCACCUCACCUCACCUCACCUCACCUCACCCUUCACCUCACCUCACCUCACCUCACCUCACCCUUCACCUCACCUCACCUCACCUCACCUCACCUCACCUCACCUCACCUCACCUCACCUCACCUCACCUCACCUCACCUCACCUCACCUCACCUCACC
This 345-nucleotide long non-coding RNA is filed under the name Volvox carteri. RNAcentral's name for it is "long non-coding RNA (VCAR_LNC002868)". The record is from RNAcentral. Lineage: Eukaryota; Viridiplantae; Chlorophyta; Chlorophyceae; Chlamydomonadales; Volvocaceae.